GUUUUUGAGACUAUGCAGAAGUGAUUCCAUGAGUUCCAAGCCCAGGUCAUGAAAGAUAACUUGAAAUAAAUCUGGCUACCCUGAAGCUGCCAUGCUCGAGAGACCACACGAGAUGGAGAGAGAUGCUUAGGAGUCCCAGCUCUCCAAGCCUCCAGCUAUGUGAAUCUUCCCAGCAGCAACUGCCAGACAUGUGGUACACCCAAAAUGACUUUGGGGCUACACUUGGAAUUGGCAAGGUUCCAGAAAACAGAGGGACUAUCAUCAGAGACAGCGCACAAAAAGUGGGAGAAAGGUCACCAGCCUCACUCAUGUUUAGGGCUAUUAUGAAUGAAGCUGCUAUGAACAUUUGUUUACAAGUUCUUUGUGAGGACACAUGUUUUCAUUUAUCUUGGGAAAAUACCUAGAGAUGGAACUCUGAGACACAUGGUAAUAAAGUAUAUUGGCAUAAUGCAAGAGUCAAGAUGCAGAAAAUAACUACUGUGUGAUGUCUCUCUCCCAGCUUUAACCCGCCUGAAGGGCAGCACUGAAUUCAACACACUGUCCCACAAUUUUUGCACUCUCACACUGAAGUGAACAGAUUCUUUCUCCGUGCCGUGCAGCUCCCAGCAGAGGAUGAGGGAAGGGUAGCAUCGGUGAUUCAACACUGUGUUUCCUAUCCUCUUCAAUGACUCUUUCAGCGAUAUGAAG
Molecule: long non-coding RNA, 687 nt
Organism: Pan troglodytes (chimpanzee)
Lineage: Eukaryota; Metazoa; Chordata; Mammalia; Primates; Hominidae
Exons: 5
Source: RefSeq, a predicted model, not a curated record